UACAGAGGUCUCAAGCGUUGUUCGGAUUUACUGGGCGUAAAGGGUGUGUAGGCGGUUGGGUAAGUCCGAAGUGAAAUCUCUAAGCUCAACUUAGAAAAUGCUUCGGAUACUAUCCGGCUAGAGGGUCGGAGAGGAGAUUGGAAUUCUCGGUGUAGCAGUGAAAUGCGUAGAUAUCGAGAGGAACAUCAGUGGCGAAGGCGGAUCUCUGGACGAAUCCUGACGCUGAGGCACGAAAGCUAGGGUAGCAAACGGG
RNAcentral lists this ribosomal RNA (253 nucleotides) under uncultured bacterium. RNAcentral describes it as "partial 16S ribosomal RNA". It matches the Rfam family "Bacterial small subunit ribosomal RNA", at positions 524 to 776 of the family's 1533-position model. The record is from RNAcentral.